CAGGGACAGUACAUGUGCAGACACCUACAAGAUACUCCAGUCUGGUGUCUCAUUAUUCAGAAUCAUUAAUGCAGCAUGUUUUCAACUGAUGCUCACAGCAACCAUGUUUCAAAACCCGAACAAUAUCGAAAAGGUGGAAAAGCAUACGUGGUAAAUCUUCAAAUCCAAUUUCUUCAAGCAAACUUCAGCGAAGAGGGGACAGCUUUGUGUUGAACUGGAAAUGGACCGAGCCACAGCUGAAAAAUGCAUUGCUGGAAAAGCGCAG
Long non-coding RNA from Chiloscyllium plagiosum (whitespotted bambooshark), 265 nucleotides. RefSeq lists it as uncharacterized. NCBI's taxonomy places the organism in Eukaryota, Metazoa, Chordata, Chondrichthyes, Orectolobiformes, Hemiscylliidae. The record is from RefSeq and is a predicted model, not a curated record.